Musa acuminata AAA Group (dessert banana) is the source of this 3328-nucleotide long non-coding RNA. RefSeq lists it as uncharacterized. Lineage: Eukaryota; Viridiplantae; Streptophyta; Magnoliopsida; Zingiberales; Musaceae. The record is from RefSeq and is a predicted model, not a curated record. The transcript is spliced from 4 exons.
AACUCCGGGCGGGCUUAUAAAUUAGGUUUUUGUGAGAGGGAGGGGAGCGGCGGCGUUACUGAUAUCUUUCUUCCUCCGCCAUGAGCGCGAGCCUCUAAUCCGGCGAAGCAUGUCUUAUUCUUCUUCUUCUUCUUCUUCUUCUUCCGGUUCUUUUCUUAUCAUCUACCUUCGAUUGAGCUUUUCUUGCGUUGCUAAAAUUUUGGCCCUUCGAAAUGGUGGGUUCUUGAAAGCUAUGGAACGUUGAUCCGUUAGGGUUUUUCCGUUGCUGAUGAUCGAAUUCUUGGAUUGAAAGAGCGGCAGCGAUCCAAUCUUUUCCCGACUCGACCAUGAGCAGAUUUGGCUCUUCUAAAAUGGUGGAUCUAAAGGAGAGUGGCGCUUCAAAGCUAUGGAAUCAUCUUCCAUACACGUCUUUUUCGUUGCUGAUGAUCGAACGCCAAAUGUGUUGGAUUUGAAGAGCGGCGUCAAUUCAAUGUCUUCUUGGCCCCUCCAUGAGCAGUUCUUUCGGCUCUUAAAAUGAUGGUGACCCUGAAAGUGUAAAGGUUCUUGAAAGCUUUUCUUUGCUGACGUUCAAAUAGAGCUUUUCAUUGCUGACAAUCAAAUGUCAAAUGUUGUGGAUUUGAAGUGCAGUGGCAAUGCAGUCUACUUCUUCCUCCACCAUGCUCUUUCGGGUGAGCUUCUAUUCUUGCGAAGCAAGUCGUCUUAUCUCAACAUCUCCUUUUGGUUAAGCUUUUCUGUUUUGAGAAGUUUUUGGCUCUUCAAGAAUGGUGUCCCUAGACACGAUUCUCGAAAAGAUUUGCAAUCAUUUCCAAACUGGCCAUUUUAGUUGCUGAUGGUCAAAUGUCAGAUGUUUUGGAUUUGAAGAGCAGCAGCAAUCCAUUCUCUUUCUUCCUCUAUCAUGAGCAGGCUGGGCGAAUCUCAAGUCUUGCGAAGAAAGUUUUCAAUUUCAUGUCAGAUUCUGUUCUUUCUGUUUAUCUUCAAAUGAGUUUCUAUUGACUUGAUAAGUUUUGGUCCUCUUAAAUGAGGAACGAUUCUUGAAAGCUAUGGAAUCAGUUCCAAAGAGGGAUUUUUCAUUGCUGAGAUUGAAUGCUAGAUCUUUUGAAUCAAAAGAUUUUCUACCAUUCUACAUAAUAUCUGUCAUUGUUGAAGUGUGUAAAGUUGGUUCAACUUUCGAAUCAAACCAAAGGCCCAUGAUCCUGAUUCUUGGACGUUGAUCUUGAUUAGAUCUUGUAGGUAAUAUCCAUCUUUGAUUUUGCUGACCACAUUGAUGUGUUGGGAUGUGAUGGCCAACAUGGCAUCAAGCAAUUAUGGGUGUGGUUAGUCCAAUUAGAUUGUUUUAGUUAUAAGAGGAUGUUUCUUAAUUGCUUGUGAAGCUCACCUACUUACGUGAGAUUGGGACAAACAUUGAUGACUUGGUGAAAGACACUCAAGAAGAAACCACUGAUUACAGAGAUUUUAUAAGAGGCAGGGGUCCAAAAAUAUUCCAUGGGCCCCUUUAAUUCACAUGCCAUAUGAGCAGGUUGUCCGGUGAGUCCCUGUGCCUAUAUUUAUUCAUUUUGCAUCUCCUUUUCUCAUCAAUUUUGUGGUCCUUUUUUUCUUGUGACAUUGAAUUUCCUUUUUUGAUUGGGUUGACUCAUGGAUAAGAACUGCUUUUAGUGAUGUUACAUAAUUUAGAAAGAAAAAAAAAUGAAUAAGUGUUCUCAUCUUCUACUGUGUUUGUACUCGGUGUAGUUCCUUCUUUAAAUCCAACAUAUCACAUGGCUUUCUAAGAGAGAAAAAUCUGACAAAGAAAAUAUUGCUGAAUGCGGGGCUAAACUAGCCGAGUCAAUACAGCGAGAUUUGAUGAUGGGCUUCUUCUUUAGAAAGGGUCUCGGCUUUCUCGAUUUUCUUCAAGGUGCAUCAUGUGUCUUGGUAUGUCAUGUGGAAGGACAUGGUUCUUUAUCUUCUUUCAGAAAUAUUAACCAUGGCUUCCCAUGUCUCGUUGAAAACAGUGGAUUUGCUGCAUUUGCUUCUGUGAAAACCUGAUAACUGCCACAGCCAAAUCAAUAUUCUUUCAUUUUUGUUUAAUAGUUGACUCAGUUAUUGAUUAAGAUGCUUUUACUAUUUAACUUACAUAUAGAAGUGUCUGAAGACCUGCACUUUCAUUGAUUGCUAUGAGUUGUUUAGUCUGGGCAAGUAUGUAAUUCAGUAAUUUUCCAAUGCAUGCUUAAAUUUCUUAGGUAAUAUACACUCAAAAGUUGGAUCAUAGAUGUUGUUUAUCCUUUUUCUUGAUCAUUUUUGGCUUGUUAAUACAGUUGGAUCUAGAUAUGGAAUGCUGGAUUCACUUGAAAGGUACGAGAUUAUGUCAAGUGGAGCUCUUGUUCCCUCGUUGUUCAAAAGGUGUUCAAUUUUAUCAACUUUAAGGAACAUGUCUUAACGGGAACAGAUAACAAACAGUAUUGAUUACAACAUUGAUGUGCUGCAGAGUUACUGAACAGAUUGCAAACAGUGUGCAGAAUUUCUGAGCCGAAAGGUUUGCAUUGUUUGUCUGCAUGAUUCACAUGUCACAUGUCAACAGUGGAGUCUGUAGUUAAUUGUAAUUCGGUAACAUCUACACCUACUAUAAGAUGAAAAUUUGGGGAAAAAAAGGGAGGCAAAAUAAAGGAAAAAAAUUGUGGCUCAAUGCAUGAGGCUUCCACUGAUGUAUAGUGUGGGGUGGGUGUCGCCAAAAUUAUAAAUGUGAAGCGGCUGAUCUGUGUACUUGUGCAAAUUUAGAUAUAUUAUCAAUAAUGCUUGAAUACUUGUGCAGUUUUGCAGCACUAGCAUACAGUAAUGCUCGAGUCUAGACAUGAAGUAUUUGGUUUAUUAUUUUGUUGAGAGCAUCAAGUAGAUUCCAAUAUGGAUUGAAGUAUUUGGUUUAUUAUUUUGUUGAGAGCAUCAAGUAGAUAAGUUUGCAGUUGGUAAUACUAUUAUCAUUUGUUUGCUUACAUUGACAUGGCAGAGCACUCAUCAUGAGUAUUGAAGUUGGCUACAAUUUUCAUAGGGCUGCCCAUUUUUUGAUGAGCUACACACCGCAGAAAUAAGUUCCGAUGGUGAUAGAAAACUGCAGACCGGUAACGACAGUGCAGAAUGUGAAUUGUUAAGAGGAAGAAACGGAGGCAGACCUGAGGUGGUCCUUUUUCCUUGAACAGGUACCUAUAUUUGUGAUCAGAUAGUAUGACUAGUAAAUGAUUCUUAUGCAUUCAAUGAACUCAUUCAUUUUUACUUCCUCUUUUUAGUGCCCUGUCUAAUAUCUUCAGCUUUCUCAAUCUAAUGUACUGCAUAGAUGAACCAGCAAGUAUCACUCUAUGGU